Long non-coding RNA from Magallana angulata, 590 nucleotides. RefSeq lists it as uncharacterized. The record is from RefSeq and is a predicted model, not a curated record. The transcript has 2 exons. NCBI's taxonomy places the organism in Eukaryota, Metazoa, Mollusca, Bivalvia, Ostreida, Ostreidae.
UCACACUAAAAGUAACUCCUGCUGAAAAGAUUUCGUACAGGUCAUAAAACCGAACUCCUUUUUUAUAUAGUUAAUCAGAGUGUUUAUUGAAAUAAUUUCGUUAAUUCGGUCGAUAAUUACGUUGUUAGUUUUUAUUAGUCUUAUUAGUUUUAAUCGAAAUAAUUAUCGUACGAUUGACCAUGUCAACUCGCCAUGUUUUGACUGCGAACAACAGCUGAUAAGCGGUUUGUUAGAAGAAAGGCCUGCAAGACGGCGAUAGUGGAUAUUUCAGCUCAACUAACGUAUGACAGAUUAAAAAGCUAUUGGUAGCCACAUGGAUUUUACCUGUUGAUUCUUUUCAGCUCUUGAAGUUAACCUGUCACCUCUACCCACAUGCAUAUUCCUUAAUGUGUUCUACAGACUAUUUACCAGUAAUUCAAAUUAUAUCAGAUAAUUCAUGAACAGUUACUGUAAUGGAACUUUAAGAAAGCAUCAUGCCUUGUUGUGGUUUGUGUUUGAUAAGAAAUUAUAACAAACAAAAUUAAGGCUGUUUAAAGUAAUUUACAAUUUUAGCUGUGAAAAUUUGUUUUUCAAUAAAAGUAUGCAAUUAU